Molecule: small nuclear RNA, 103 nt
Organism: Callithrix jacchus (white-tufted-ear marmoset)
Lineage: Eukaryota; Metazoa; Chordata; Mammalia; Primates; Cebidae
Source: Ensembl
GCUUGCUUCCGGCGGCACAUAUUAAUAUUGGAAUGAUACAGUGAAGAUUAGCAUGGCCCCUGCACAAGGAUGAUAUGCAAAUUCUGAAGUGUUUCAUAUUAAA